Molecule: ribosomal RNA, 492 nt
Filed under: uncultured bacterium
Lineage: Bacteria
Description: partial 16S ribosomal RNA
Rfam family: Bacterial small subunit ribosomal RNA
Source: RNAcentral
AGUGAACGCUGGCGGUAGGCCUAACACAUGCAAGUAGAACGGCAGCACAGUAAGAGCUUGCUCUUACGGGUGGCGAGUGGCGGACGGGUGAGGAAUACAUCGGAAUCUACUUUUUCGUGGGGGAUAACGUAGGGAAACUUACGCUAAUACCGCAUACGACAUACGGGUGAAAGCAGGGGAUCUUCGGACCUUGCGCGAUUGAAUGAGCCGAUGUCGGAUUAGCUAGUUGGCGGGGUAAAGGCCCACCAAGGCGACGAUCCUUAGCUGGUCUGAGAGGAUGAUCAGCCACACUGGAACUGAGAACCGGUCCAGACCCCUACGGGAGGCAGCAGUGGGGAAUAUUGGCCAAGGGGCGCAAGCCUGAUCCAGCCAUACCGCGUGGGUGAAGAAGGCCUUCGGGUUUUAAAGCCUUUUUGUUGGGAAAGAAAAGCAGCAGGUUAAUACCCCGCUGUUCUGACGGUACCCAAAGAAUAAGCACCGGCUAACUUCGUG